Molecule: non-coding RNA, 46 nt
Filed under: Caenorhabditis brenneri
Lineage: Eukaryota; Metazoa; Nematoda; Chromadorea; Rhabditida; Rhabditidae
Description: sRNA CBN34225
Rfam family: Histone 3' UTR stem-loop
About the family: The mRNAs of metazoan histone genes lack a poly-A tail. 3' end processing occurs at a site between a highly conserved stem-loop (modelled by this family) and a purine rich region around 20 nts downstream (the histone downstream element, or HDE). The stem-loop is bound by a 31 kDa stem-loop binding protein (SLBP - also termed the histone hairpin binding protein, or HBP).
Source: RNAcentral
CCAACGGCCCUCUUUAGGGCCACAAAUAAUCCUUAUAAUCCAGUCU